AGUGAGAAUUGUCUUUAUUGUAUGGCUCGAAUGAGUAAAAUAAGCGCAUGUUUAACGAGUUUGUGCAGGUACAUGAUGGUCAAGUAAUUCAUUUUGCCACUUGUUUUCGUAAAAAUACUUUACAUCCAUUGGCUUUAAUUAAAUACAUUUUAUUUGCAAGGGCUUAACAUUGUCUUAAUUCUAUGCAGGCUUUUUUCGAUUGAUGGCCAAAAGAAAAGGCAUUUUGUCGCUGCUUAUAGCAAAUUAAAGACGUCAUUACAGUAAGCUUUCUGUUCUACCUCCAUGGACUGUUAUAGAAUCAAGUGGGGAGCUACAUAAUCUUGAUAUACCACCCUGCAGAAAUGAGUACCUUCCUACAUUUUAUUCAGCAUCCUACCUCUAUUUUUUUUAAAGGAAUACAUAGUGACGAAACAUUUAUGGGCAGAAGUAUGUGAUUUUCUGUAAAUUAAUCAUGAUUUAUUUAUUCAUAUCUAUGCCACACGCCACUUGCCCCUGGUAGUGGGUACAUAAUAGGGAUGGGUCAGAAUAUUUGAUUAUUCGUUCUUGAGGGUCAAAAUCGAUUUUUUACUUUUGGACCAUGAACAUAUUUUCCCAUUCAAAUAUAAAGUUUUUCACAAGCCAUAACUUUGUUUACCUGGUAACGCCUGAGGGUUUGUCUAAUACCUGGUACAAUCAUUACCUUCCCGUAAGGUUCUUAUGCAACGGAAACGUUGUUCACUCCUCAAGUAAAUAGUACGGACCUUAGUUACAACUUGGCAACGGGAGGUAUUCUAGUCCGCUCAGCUAUGAGCCAGAGAGCUAACGUUAUGCAUUAUACAUAUUUAUAAUUCUAAAUUCGUCCAAAGCCUUUAUACAACAGAUACUCUAGGGUCUAUAGCAGGGGUGCCCAACCAGUCGAUCGCGGUCUACCAGUAGACCGCCGACAGAUCCCAAGUCGACCGCGAGGGGUGAAGAUUUUUAUUUUUUAUUUUUUUUAAAUAAAAUAAAAUUUGCGCGGGACAUAUACGCGCGGUAGCGCAUGCGCUGUCAACAGCAGUUGACAGUAGUUACGCACUCCUAAACGUUGGCAUGGCUGAGGGGAAACGAGCUAAGACCUACCAUUUUCAAUAUUAACAGAGGAUGUACUGCCGCAGCUUGAUGCAGCUAUUCAGAGUGCACCAUAUUAUCCUUAGCUGUUGAUGAAUCUACACAGAUAUCACUGAUAAAGCCCAGCUUCUGAUGUAUGUUCGAUUUUUCCACAAAAAGAAAGAAUUCUGUGAGGAUCUCUUAAGUGUAACAUCACUUGACUUGAGACACAUACAGGAGGAGAGGACAUAUACAAGGCCAUAAAGGAGAUGUUGAGAAAGGGGGAUAGAUCUGAAACAAGUGGUCUCAAUCACCACAGAUGGAGCCCCUGCCAUGGCAGGAAGAGAGAGAGGAGCUGUGGCACGGAUGAAAGAGGACAACCCUGAUCUCAUAGCUUACCGCUGCAUCAUCCAUCAAUCUGUUCUGUGCGCUUAUCUGUCAGAAGAGUAUAUGAAGUGAUGAAUACAAUGAUGAAACUCAACAACUGCCUCAGAGCAUCCUCAUCCCAUCAACAUCGCCUGCUGAGAGAAUUCCUGAAAGAAGUUGAUGCAAAUGCCGACGACUUACUACUGCACAACAACGUAAGAUGGCUCAGCAAAGGCAGGGUGUUGGGACGCUUUUGUCCAUUCGUAAAGAAAUGGCCACUAAUUAGUACAGCUCAAGAGUCAAGUGCUUCGUAAAUUAAGCACAUCAGCUGCAUUACCCCCAUAUAGCCACUAGGGCUCACGAUCAAACACAUAAGCUGCAUUACCCCCACAUAGCCACAUGGGAGCAGGAUCAAACACAUAAGCUGCAUUACCCCCACAUAGCCACAAGGAAGCAGGAUCGAACACAUAAGCUGCAAUUACCAUACAUUGCCACAAGGGGAGCAGGACCAAACAUACAAGCGGUAAUAGCUACUCCAGUCACAGAUGGCAGCACCUUUAGACAGACGAGGAAGCCUGAGCCAAUACGUCACAUAGGUCACGCCUACUUGAUGCAAACGCAGAGCGGGAGCCAGAAGAGGGCAGAAACAUGGCAGCCCCGUUGGCAGCCCCGUUGCUAAUAGGUCAGCGGUAUGUCGCUCCACGUGAGUGUUAAAUACAAUUCACUCCUUCUGCUUCAUAUUUACCAUACCGAAAUACUUUAACAGAAGGAACCACAGUUUUUACUUUUUCUGCAAGAUGAGAGCAAAAUCGAUAUUGCAGGGGUUGCCACUAACCAGUCCCUCCAGAAAAAACGUGAUUAUGCGAUCACAUAAUUCAACGAAUAAUCAGCCAAAGUCUGCAUAUUCAUGCGGGGCCGCAUUUUUUCAAAUAUGCCUCACUUUCACCGCCUAAAUUGCUGAUUUCCGCGAAAAAUAUGUGGGGCUGCAUGAUUUCAUAAUCCCCGCAUUUUUGUUGCAAAAAAGUCACAUAUAUCUUAGCAGAAAGUUGAAAAACGUUGCGUUUA
Gadus macrocephalus (Pacific cod) is the source of this 2496-nucleotide long non-coding RNA. RefSeq lists it as uncharacterized. NCBI's taxonomy places the organism in Eukaryota, Metazoa, Chordata, Actinopteri, Gadiformes, Gadidae. The transcript is spliced from 2 exons. The record is from RefSeq and is a predicted model, not a curated record.